UACGUAGGUGGCAAGCGUUGUCCGGAUUUACUGGGUGUAAAGGGCGUGCAGCCGGGAAGACAAGUCAGAUGUGAAAUCCCGCGGCUCAACCGCGGAACUGCAUUUGAAACUGUUUUUCUUGAGUACCGGAGAGGUCAUCGGAAUUCCUUGUGUAGCGGUGAAAUGCGUAGAUAUAAGGAAGAACACCAGUGGCGAAGGCGGAUGACUGGACGGCAACUGACGGUGAGGCGCGGAAGCGUGGGGAGCAAACAGG
Molecule: ribosomal RNA, 253 nt
Filed under: uncultured bacterium
Lineage: Bacteria
Description: partial 16S ribosomal RNA
Rfam family: Bacterial small subunit ribosomal RNA
Source: RNAcentral